CCCUUGUAUCAAAAAUAAAUUUAAUUAGUAUAAGAAGAAAUUUAAAAAUUUUGGCGGUUUAUUAUUAAUUAGAGGAGCUUGUAUUUUAAAUAGAAUUAACUCUUUAUAUUUAAAUAAUAAAUUAUUUAUUCAUCUCCGUUAUUAAAUGAUAAAGUUGCAAAAAUUAUAGAUUAUUAAUAUUUCAGGUCAAGAUGUAGUAUUUAUUAUAUUAUAUUAGCUACAUUUAUGAAAUUUUGGAUUUUUUAUAAAAGUAGAUAUUAAUUAAGAAAUUGAAUUUAAUUGUAAUUAUAUUUACAGUAUUAUAAUGAAUAGAAAUAAUUUAUGUAUAUAUUGCCCGUCACUUCUAUUAAAAAGG
RNAcentral lists this ribosomal RNA (355 nucleotides) under Mischonyx insulanus. RNAcentral's name for it is "partial small subunit ribosomal RNA". Lineage: Eukaryota; Metazoa; Arthropoda; Arachnida; Opiliones; Gonyleptidae. The record is from RNAcentral.